Long non-coding RNA from Medicago truncatula (barrel medic), 749 nucleotides. RefSeq lists it as uncharacterized. The transcript is spliced from 2 exons. The record is from RefSeq and is a predicted model, not a curated record. NCBI's taxonomy places the organism in Eukaryota, Viridiplantae, Streptophyta, Magnoliopsida, Fabales, Fabaceae.
CAAAAAAGCAAAACACAUUAAUUAACCUCUAACUUCAUCGUAUCAAUCUCAAUUCCUUCCAGAAUCCAAAAGCCCAAAAAAAAUGAGUUUCCGCGGCACCACCACACUCCUCUCACGCGCCACCAGAAUCCAAACAAAACUCCAAUCAUCCCUCUCCGCCACCGUCAUAGAACUCGACGACGUGUCCUAUCAACACGCUGGUCACGCAGCAAUGAAAGAAUCAUCUGAGCAAGAAACCCAUUUCAAUUUGAAAAUCGUUUCGGAGAAAUUCGAAGGCGUUAAUCUUGUUAAACGACAUCGUAUGGUUUAUGAAGUUCUUGAUGAUGAGUUGAAAUCUGGGCUUCAUGCUCUUUCCAUUAUUGCGAAGACUCCGAAGGAAAUUACCCCUGAAGUGAAAUGAUACGGUUAUUGCAGUGACUAGUCAAAGUGAUUUAUUUUGGAGUACUAUUGUAUGAAGGACGUCCAUGUAUAUUGAAGUAUGAAAGUAUGCCAUGGAAAGUCAAUAUUACCAUUAGACAAAUGGUGGAUCAAAGGAAUUCUAUUCUAUUGUUGUUUGGAAUUUUAGAGGAAGUGAAUAGAUUGAAAAUUAAGAGGAUAAUUGCAUUUGUAGUAAAUUGAAUUUACACUUUUAAAUUGUGUUUUGCUGCACUAUUUUCUUCCCAGCCACAUACCCGUUUUAGAAACCAUGCUUUGCAUCUAAGCAAAAUGUAAUUUAUUCAUUUCAAGCUAUGAUUUGUGAUUCCAGAUUA